RNAcentral lists this ribosomal RNA (253 nucleotides) under uncultured bacterium. Its description in RNAcentral is "partial 16S ribosomal RNA". It matches the Rfam family "Bacterial small subunit ribosomal RNA", at positions 524 to 776 of the family's 1533-position model. The record is from RNAcentral.
UACGUAGGGGGCAAGCGUUGUCCGGAUUUAUUGGGCGUAAAGAGCGUGUAGGCGGCCAGGUAGGUCUGGUGUGAAAACUCGAGGCCUAACCUCGAGAUGUCAUCGGAAACCAUCUGGCUAGAGUCCGGAAGAGGAGAGUGGAAUUCCUGGUGUAGCGGUGAAAUGCGCAGAUAUCAGGAAGAACACCAAUGGCGAAAGCAGCUCUCUGGGACGGUACUGACGCUGAGACGCGAAAGCGUGGGGAGCGAACAGG